GACGAACGCUGGCGGCGUGCUUAACACAUGCAAGUCGAACGGAAAGGCCCUGCUUUUUUGGGCUGCUCGAUGGGCGAACGGGUGAGUAACACGUGAGUAACCUGCCCUUGACUUUGGGAUAACUUCAGGAAACUGGGGCUAAUACCGUAUAGGAUCUCCUGCUGCAUGGUGGGGGGUGGAAAGUUUCGGCGGUUGGGGAUGGACUCGCGGCUUAUCAGCUUGUUGGUGGGGUAGUGGCUUACCAAGGCUUUGACGGGUAGCCGGCCUGAGAGGGUGACCGGCGACAUUGGGACUGAGGUAGGGCGCAGAGUCGUAUGGGAGGCAACAGGGGGGAACAUUGCACAAUGGGAGGAAGCCUGAUGCAGCAACGCCGCGUGCGGGAUGACGGCCUUCGGGUUGUAAACAGCUUUCGCCUGUUACGACGCGUGAGUGACGGUAAUGGGUAAAGAAGCACCGGCUAACUACGUG
This 468-nucleotide ribosomal RNA is filed under the name uncultured bacterium. RNAcentral describes it as "partial 16S ribosomal RNA". It matches the Rfam family "Bacterial small subunit ribosomal RNA", at positions 28 to 507 of the family's 1533-position model. The record is from RNAcentral.